RNAcentral lists this ribosomal RNA (465 nucleotides) under uncultured bacterium. RNAcentral describes it as "partial 16S ribosomal RNA". It matches the Rfam family "Bacterial small subunit ribosomal RNA", at positions 28 to 507 of the family's 1533-position model. The record is from RNAcentral.
GACGAACGCUGGCGGCGUGCUUAACACAUGCAAGUCGUACGGUAAGGCCCUUUCGGGGGUACCCGAGUGGCGAACGGGUGCGUAACACGUGAGUAACCUGCCCACAACUUUGGGAUAACGCUAGGAAACUGGUGCUAAUACUGGAUAUGUGCUCCUGCUGCAUGGUGGGGGUUGGAAAGCUCCGGCGGUUGUGGAUGGACUCGCGGCCUAUCAGCUUGUUGGUGGGGUAGUGGCCUACCAAGGCGGCGACGGGUAGCCGGCCUGAGAGGGUGACCGGCCACAUUGGGACUGAGAUACGGCCCAGACUCCUACGGGAGGCAGCAGUGGGGAAUAUUGCACAAGGGGCGCAAGCCUGAUGCAGCAACGCCGCGUGCGGGAUGACGGCCUUCGGGUUGUAAACCGCUUUCAGCAGGGACGAAGCUUUUUGUGACGGUACCUGCAGAAGAAGCACCGGCUAACUACGUG